This 337-nucleotide ribosomal RNA is filed under the name Clitelloxenia audreyae. Its description in RNAcentral is "partial 12S ribosomal RNA". The record is from RNAcentral. Lineage: Eukaryota; Metazoa; Arthropoda; Insecta; Diptera; Phoridae.
AAUGUAAUAUUAAUAAACUAAAGUAUUAAUAGUUAUAUUCUUUAAAUUUAAAAAAUUUGGCGGUAUUUUAAUUUAUUUAGAGGAAUCUGUUUUUUAAUCGAUAUUCCACGUUGAACCUUACUUAAUUUUUAUUUAUAUACCGUUGUUAUUAAAUAUUUUAUAAGAAAUUUAAUUUUUAAUUAAUUAUAUUAAAUGAUAUAUCAAAUCAAGGUGUAGUUUAUAAUUAAGGAGAUAAUGGAUUACAAUAAAAUUAUUUAUAUGAAUUUUAUUAUGAAAAAGUAAAUGAAGGUGGAUUUAAAAGUAAAAUUAUAUAGAUUAUUAAUUUGAUUAAGAUUAU